CCUACGGGAGGCAGCAGUGAGGAAUAUUGGUCAAUGGGCGCGAGCCUGAAGCAGCCAAGUAGCGUGAAGGAUGACUGCCUUACGGGUGGAAAACUCUGUUUAUAAAGGAAUAAAGUGAGGCACGUGACCCUUUUUGUAUGGACUUUAUGAAUAAGGAUCGCCUAACUCCGUGCCAGCAGCCGCGGUAAUACGGAGGAUCCGAGCGUUAUCCGGAUUUAUUGGGUUUAAAGGGAGCGUAGGUGGAUUGUUAAGUCAGUUGUGAAAGUUUGCGGCUCAACCGUAAAAUUGCAGUUGAAACUGGCAGUCUUGAGUACAGUAGAGGUAGGCGGAAUUCGUGGUGUAGCGGUGAAAUGCUUAGAUAUCACGAAGAACACCGAUUGCGAAGGCAGCUCACUGGACUGCAACUGACACUGAGGCUCGAAAGUGUGGGUAUCAAACAGGAUUAGAUACCCCUGUAGUC
Molecule: ribosomal RNA, 460 nt
Filed under: uncultured bacterium
Lineage: Bacteria
Description: partial 16S ribosomal RNA
Rfam family: Bacterial small subunit ribosomal RNA
Source: RNAcentral